UGAAAUCGUAAAGGAGGUUUCUUCCUACCUCAAGAAGGUAGGAUACAACCCUGACAAAAUCCCCUUUGUCCCCAUCUCUGGUUUCGAGGGUGAUAACAUGAUCGAAAGAUCAACCAACCUUGACUGGUACAAGGGCCCAACUCUUCUUGAGGCUCUUGACCAGAUUAAUGAGCCCAAGAGGCCCUCAGACAAGCCCCUCAGGCUCCCACUUCAGGAUGUCUACAAGAUUGGUGGUAUUGGUACUGUCCCUGUUGGUCGUGUGGAAACCGGUAUCCUCAAGCCUGGUAUGGUUGUGACCUUGAGGCUCUUGACCAGAUCAAUGAGCCCAAGAGGCCCUCAGACAAGCCCCUCAGGCUCCCACUUCAGGAUGUGUACAAGAUUGGUGGUAUUGGUACUGUCCCUGUUGGUCGUGUGGAAACCGGUAUCCUCAAGCCUGGUAUGGUUGUGACUUUUGGUCCCACUGGUUUGACCACUGAAGUUAAAUCUGUUGAGAUGCACCACGAAGCUCUUCAGGAGGCACUUCCUGGUGAUAAUGUUGGAUUCAACGUCAAGAACGUUGCAGUGAAGGAUCUCAAGCGUGGGUUUGUUGCUUCCAACUCCAAGGAUGACCCAGCUAAGGGUGCUGCCAGCUUUACCUCCCAAGUCAUCAUCAUGAACCAUCCAGGACAGAUUGGAAAUGGAUAUGCUCCAGUGCUUGACUGCCACACCUCCCACAUUGCUGUCAAGUUUGCAGAAAUUUUGACCAAGAUUGACAGGCGUUCUGGUAAGGAAAUUGAGAAGGAGCCCAAGUUCUUGAAGAAUGGUGAUGCUGGUAUGGUUAGGAUGCUUCCCACCAAGCCCAUGGUUGUUGAGACCUUCUCUGAGUACCCACCAUUGGGACGUUUUGCUGUGAGGGACAUGCGUCAAACUGUUGCUGUUGGUGUUAUCAAGAACGUUGACAAGAAGGACCCAACUGGUGCCAAGGUCACCAAGGCUGCUCAGAAGAAGAAAUGAACGUUGCAGUUCAAUUCUGGUGGUAUUCGUGAUAUCUACUACAAUAAAGUGUGUUAUGGAGACAUUGUUUUCUCUGCUUGUGAUGUUUUUGUUCUGUCCUUAAUGUGGUUCUUAGGUUGUAGUUUUCUGCUUUGUAUGACUGGUAUCCGCUCCCAGAGUUGGGUGCUUGACAGGCGGUGGCGGGAAUAACUUUGUUGAGUCUGUCUGCAUUUUCUUUUGAGGUACCUUGGUUUUCCAAGGUGGCUUGGAAGUUUUGUUUGUUAUGUUGCUUAAGAUACUUAAUUCGGAACUUAUUUAUUUUUGUGUUGAAUAUGUUUUCUUAUUUCUAUUCUCUGGUAGUUUUAUAUCUUUAGCUUUUUACUGGUACUUGCUUCCUCUUUGAUCUUGGUUUAACUUGUUACCUUCUUUAGAGUAUUCUUGUUAUUUCAACCUGUGCUAGAGGAAAUGGAAAUCCGGGGGAAGUGCUUACUAUGAUAGAUUGGAACUCUAGCCCCAGGUGUUGCUGCUCUCAAUCAAACUUUAGUUCCUUCAUUGAGUAGGGUAUAAUACCGUCAGAUUCAUCCAUUGUAUCGUCUUUUCUUUUGGUAUUGUCUCUCCCGUUUUCUUCUCUCUUCUCCGGAGAUAUGUUCUGGAAAUCUUCAUUGCUAAUAGAAAUUUUUUACUUGGAAUCCGAGAAUGCAAAUUCAGAUAAAUACCUCGCAUAUUUUAUCUGUCUUUCUGUUUAAGGGUUCAAUGUCAGUCAAUUAAAUCUAUGGAUAUGCAUCUGCAGUUUCAGUUAACAGUGUCCCAUAUUCGACCAAUAAACUUAACAUUGAAGCUACCAGUGUUGGUACUGCUCUUGAAGCUACCAG
This 1844-nucleotide long non-coding RNA is filed under the name Nicotiana benthamiana. Its description in RNAcentral is "long non-coding RNA (NBEN_LNC012275)". The record is from RNAcentral. Lineage: Eukaryota; Viridiplantae; Streptophyta; Magnoliopsida; Solanales; Solanaceae.